CGAGCAACCUGCCCUUGACUCCGGAAUAACAGCUGGAAACAGCUGCUAAUACCGGAUACGACCUCCGAUGGCAUCAUCUGGAGGUGGAAAGCUCCGGCGGUCAAGGAUGGGCUCGCUGCCUAUCAGCUUGUUGGUGAGGUAAUGGCUCACCAAGGCGACGACGGGUAGCCGGCCUGAGAGGGUGACCGGCCACACUGGGACGUGAGACACGGCCCACGAUCCGUACGGG
RNAcentral lists this ribosomal RNA (229 nucleotides) under uncultured bacterium. RNAcentral describes it as "partial 16S ribosomal RNA". It matches the Rfam family "Bacterial small subunit ribosomal RNA", at positions 118 to 345 of the family's 1533-position model. The record is from RNAcentral.